AUGCUCUUCACCUCGGCAGUCGCCGUUGUCCUUGCCCUUUUCCCCGUCGCCGCUGUCGGCGCCGGCCUGAAAGUCGGGUUCUACAGCAAGAGCUGCCCGUCGGCAGAGAACCUGGUGCAGCAGGCGGUGGCUGCUGCCUUCAAGAACAACACCGGUGUCGCCGCUGGCCUCAUCCGGCUGCACUUCCACGACUGUUUUGUCAAGGGUUGUGACGGCUCAGUCCUGAUCGACUCGACAGCAAACAACACUGCUGAGAAAGACGCGCCCCCCAACAAGCCCAGCCUCCGUGGGUUCGAGGUGAUCGACGCGGCAAAGAAGGCCAUCGAGGCGAAAUGCCCCAAGACGGUCUCAUGCGCGGACAUUCUCGCCUUCGCCGCCCGUGACAGCGUCGCGCUAGCAGGAAAUGUUACCUACAAGGUGCCCGCCGGGCGCCGCGACGGCCGGAUUUCCACCAACGCGAGCGCCCUCAACAACCUACCGUCGCCGCUCUCAACGGCGUCCGAGCUGGUCGGCAACUUCACCCUCAAGAACCUCACGGCCGAGGACAUGGUCGUCCUCUCCGGCGCCCACACCAUUGGCGUCUCCCACUGCUCGUCCUUCACAAACAGGCUAUACGGCUUCAGCAACACCAGUCAGGUAUAA
Molecule: ribosomal RNA, 642 nt
Filed under: Triticum aestivum (bread wheat)
Lineage: Eukaryota; Viridiplantae; Streptophyta; Magnoliopsida; Poales; Poaceae
Description: partial small subunit ribosomal RNA
Source: RNAcentral